This 459-nucleotide ribosomal RNA is filed under the name uncultured bacterium. RNAcentral's name for it is "partial 16S ribosomal RNA". It matches the Rfam family "Bacterial small subunit ribosomal RNA", at positions 338 to 795 of the family's 1533-position model. The record is from RNAcentral.
CCUACGGGAGGCAGCAGUGAGGAAUAUUGGUCAAUGGCCGGAAGUCUGAACCAGCCAAGCCGCGUGCGGGAGGAAGGCGCAGUGCGUCGCAGACCUCUUUUGCCGGGGGACAAACCUCCGUACGUGUCCGGUUCUGCGGGUACCCUGCGAAAAAGCAUCGGCUAACUCCGUGCCAGCAGCCGCGGUAAUACGGAGGAUGCGAGCGUUAUCCGGAUUCAUUGGGUUUAAAGGGUGCGCAGGCGGGACUUUAAGCUGGCGGUGAAAUCGCGGGGCUAAACCCGGCAGAGCCGUCGGAACUGGGGGCCUUGAGUGCGGCGGAGGCAUGCGGAAUGCGCGGUGUAGCGGUGAAAUGCAUAGAUAUCGCGCAGAACCCCGAUUGCGAAGGCAGCGUGCCGUGCCGCAACUGACGCUGAGGCACGAAAGCGCGGGGAUCGAACAGGAUUAGAUACCCUUGUAGUC